GCUUUCGGCCAUACCAACCUGGCUAUGCCCGAUCUCGUCUGAUCUCGGAAGCUAAGCAGGUUUGGGCUUGGUUAGUACUUGGAUGGGAGACCACCUGGGAAUACCAGGUGCUGUAAGCU
RNAcentral lists this ribosomal RNA (119 nucleotides) under Carassius auratus (goldfish). Lineage: Eukaryota; Metazoa; Chordata; Actinopteri; Cypriniformes; Cyprinidae. The record is from RNAcentral.